This 459-nucleotide ribosomal RNA is filed under the name Hymenoscyphus sp. UBCtra1439C. Its description in RNAcentral is "eukaryotic LSU rRNA". It matches the Rfam family "Eukaryotic large subunit ribosomal RNA", at positions 1 to 455 of the family's 3401-position model. The record is from RNAcentral. Lineage: Eukaryota; Fungi; Ascomycota; Leotiomycetes; Helotiales; Helotiaceae.
UUGACCUCGGAUCAGGUAGGGAUACCCGCUGAACUUAAGCAUAUCAAUAAGCGGAGGAAAAGAAACCAACAGGGAUUGCCUCAGUAACGGCGAGUGAAGCGGCAACAGCUCAAAUUUGAAAUCUGGCUCUUUCAGGGUCCGAGUUGUAAUUUGUAGAAGAUGCUUUGGGUGUGGCUCCGGUCUAAGUUCCUUGGAACAGGACGUCAUAGAGGGUGAGAAUCCCGUACGUGACUGGGUGCCUUCGCUCGUGUAAAGCUCUUUCGACGAGUCGAGUUGUUUGGGAAUGCAGCUCAAAAUGGGUGGUAAAUUUCAUCUAAAGCUAAAUAUUGGCCAGAGACCGAUAGCGCACAAGUAGAGUGAUCGAAAGAUGAAAAGCACUUUGGAAAGAGAGUUAAACAGUACGUGAAAUUGUUGAAAGGGAAGCGCUUGCAACCAGACUUGCAGGCGGUUGAUCAUCCG